GACAGAUGGGAGCUUGCUCCCUGAUGUUAGCGGCGGACGGGUGAGUAACACGUGGGUAACCUGCCUGUAAGACUGGGAUAACUCCGGGAAACCGGGGCUAAUACCGGAUGGUUGUUUGAACCGCAUGGUUCAAACAUAAAAGGUGGCUUCGGCUACCACUUACAGAUGGACCCGCGGCGCAUUAGCUAGUUGGUGAGGUAACGGCUCACCAAGGCAACGAUGCGUAGCCGACCUGAGAGGGUGAUCGGCCACACUGGGACUGAGACACGGCCCAAACUCCUACGGGAGGCAGCAGUAGGGAAUCUUCCGCAAUGGACGAAAGUCUGACGGAGCAACGCCGCGUGAGUGAUGAAGGUUUUCGGAUCGUAAAGCUCUGUUGUUAGGGAAGAACAAGUACCGUUCGAAUAGGGCGGUACCUUGACGGUACCUAACCAGAAAGCCACGGCUAACUACGUGCCAGCCGCCG
This 466-nucleotide ribosomal RNA is filed under the name Bacillus sp. PM228. Its description in RNAcentral is "bacterial SSU rRNA". It matches the Rfam family "Bacterial small subunit ribosomal RNA", at positions 68 to 517 of the family's 1533-position model. The record is from RNAcentral. Lineage: Bacteria; Bacillati; Bacillota; Bacilli; Caryophanales; Bacillaceae.